UCAAACAGGAAUUCAACAAGAUGGUCCAUCACAUGGUUAGUGAGAAAGAGUUUGAGGAUGGUUGGGCAUGUAUAGUUGAGAAACAUGGACUACAGAAAAACACAUUUCUCACCCAAAUAUAUGAGACACGGAGGAAGUGGGCUAAACCUUACUGAUUGAUGUUUUUUGCGCCAAGAUGACCAGCACGAAGUGGAGUGAAAGUGCAAAUCAUUUGCUCAAAGGGUAUGUGCUGCCAGGAUCCCCGAUGCAUGUCUUAGUCAGGCAAUAUGAGAAUAUGCAAUUUGAUAGAGAUUCGGAGGAGAGUUAUCGGGAGAAGAGAACCAAACUGGUAAGAAAUACAAAGUUUAUGUGUUUGUCGCAUGGGUGGUGUUGUGCUGGCUCCGAACCUACCUAUUGAGAUACAUGCAUAAAAAAUUUACACGAGUGCUAUGUUUGAAAAUUUUGGCGAGAUGCUAUAUGAGGAUGGCUCAUAUGUUAUGAUUGAAGUUGUGCCUCGCUGUGAGUACAUUGCCAGGCAUGUGAAUAAAGAUUCCAGGGACAAAUGGUGCAAAAACAAAUUCAAGUGUGAGUGCAGAAGUUUUGAACAUUUCGGCAUGGUGUGCAGUCAUGCACUGAAGGUGAUGAUCCAGCUUGGUCUACAGGAGUUCCCAGCCAGACACGUGCUGAAGCAUUAGACAAGGGAUGCGAGGGAUAUACUCCCUCCAGAGUUUUUGCGUUACCAGAAGGACGAAGGUCCUCUGAAGUACUCCUCGAGACGACAUAAAAAUCUGUAUCUGCUUUGCCUCGAGAUUUUUAGGCUAGGUGACAGCAACGUGGAUGCAUAUACUCUUGCAAUGGAGCAACUAAGGAAUAUGAAAUUUUUGCUGGAGCCAGUGGCUGCUAUACGCGAUGGUAUGGGCUUAUCCGACAGAGAGAUGGCAUGUGAUUCUGCAGGUUCACCUGCAGCACACAAGCAACAUUUUGGUCCAAUGAAUCAGGUGCAAGGUGCCUCACAAUGUUCGGAUAGCUUUGGGGCGCCAUCAAAGAAGAGACCAGCGGGGCACCCUACGACAAGCCGCGACAAAGCACCAUACAAACAGCCAGCUCUGCUCAAUCUGCCGGGGCCAAGGGCACAAGAACACUACAUGUCCGCAGGGUGCCUAGGAAGUCACCUCGCUGCUCCAGGGGCAGCCUGAUGGGUUACAGAAAGAACACCUGCAUCAAGACACCAAAAGCAGACUUCUACGAGUGAUUAUUAUUUGGUUUUUAUGCUUGAAAUAUGACGCUCGGGGAAAUUCUGCUUUGUGUGGAUGUCGGACUGCUAGUAAUACUAUUCCACCUUUCAAGUGAAUCUCUAUUAUCUGUAGUAUCGUUUGUUGUCAGAGAAUUAGUCGACAGAUGAUGUAUUUUCAGUGUGAAAACCUCUUGUUGUGGGCA
Aegilops tauschii subsp. strangulata is the source of this 1416-nucleotide long non-coding RNA. RefSeq lists it as uncharacterized. Lineage: Eukaryota; Viridiplantae; Streptophyta; Magnoliopsida; Poales; Poaceae. The record is from RefSeq and is a predicted model, not a curated record.